Oncorhynchus nerka (sockeye salmon) is the source of this 707-nucleotide long non-coding RNA. RefSeq lists it as uncharacterized. The record is from RefSeq and is a predicted model, not a curated record. The transcript has 5 exons. Lineage: Eukaryota; Metazoa; Chordata; Actinopteri; Salmoniformes; Salmonidae.
UUGGGGAGCCUGCUGCUUUUAUUUCCUGGUAAUGAGGCCUUUCAUUUGUUUUUGAGUCUUUAUUUAGGAGCGUGCCUUUUGUAUUUCUCUAAUUUUGUACAUGUGUAUGUUUCGUCACCAUCGGAACAAAUAAUCAUCUGCUUUAACUGGCUGACCAAGAGGUCAAGAGAGAGCUGACCUUGGACCAAGAGAACAUCAGAUAUGGGGGAGGAGAGCGCUACAUGGGGAGAGAUGGAGUGGUGGAAAAUAAAAGCACUUUGCAGGCCCCGAGUGGAGCACCAAUCAACUCCAUCUAUUGGCAGUCCCAGUGGACCACAAACCUGAUGCCUUAUCAAAGGAAUUGAUGGAAAGAACAUGGCACAAACACAACUGAAUCAUAAAGGAUGCUGCAUGACGUAGCGAACAACCUCUCUUCAAUCACGACAGCAAUCGCUGUCCAGGUGGCUGGUCUCAGAUGAUCCCGCAGGAGAAGAAGGCGGAUGUGGAGGUCCCGGGCUGUCAUGGUUACAUGCGGUCUGCGGUUGUGAGGCCGUUUUGAUGUACUGCUAAAUUCUCUAAAAUGACUUUGGAGUCAGCUUUUGGUAAAUAAAUUAACAUUCAAUUCUCUGGCAACAACUCUGGUGGACAUUUCUGCAGUCAGAAUGCCAAUUGCACGCUCCCUUAACUUGAGACAUCUUCAGCAUUGUGCUGUGACAAAACUGCACAUU